GCAGUAGCCGCGGGAAAACGUAGGUGGCAAGCGUUGUCCGGAAUUAUCGGGCGUAAAGGGCUCGCAGGCGGUUUCUUAAGUCUGAUGUGAAAGCCCCCGGCUCAACCGGGGAGGGUCAUUGGAAACUGGGAAACUUGAGUGCAGAAGAGGAGAGUGGAAUUCCACGUGUAGCGGUGAAAUGCGUAGAGAUGUGGAGGAACACCAGUGGCGAAGGCGACUCUCUGGUCUGUAACUGACACUGAGGAGCGAAAGCGUGGGGAGCGAACAGGAUUAGAUACCCCAGUAGUCCCUGUCUCUUAUAC
This 302-nucleotide ribosomal RNA is filed under the name uncultured bacterium. Its description in RNAcentral is "partial 16S ribosomal RNA". It matches the Rfam family "Bacterial small subunit ribosomal RNA", at positions 508 to 807 of the family's 1533-position model. The record is from RNAcentral.